Molecule: ribosomal RNA, 255 nt
Filed under: uncultured bacterium
Lineage: Bacteria
Description: partial 16S ribosomal RNA
Rfam family: Bacterial small subunit ribosomal RNA
Source: RNAcentral
UUUUCCCUACGGGGGGCAGCAGUGAGGAAUAUUGGUCAAUGGGCGGAAGCCUGAACCAGCCAAGUCGCGUGAGGGAAGAAGGCCCUGCGGGUCGCAGACCUCUUUGGACGGGGAGCAAGGCCGCCGACGUGUCGGCGGAAGGAGAGUACCCGGAGAACAAGCAUCGGCUAACUCCGUGCCAGCAGCCGCGGUAAUACGGAGGAUGCGAGCGUUAUCCGGAAUUAUUGGGCGUAAAGGGUGCGUAGAUGGCAUAGU